AGUGAACGCUGGCGGUAGGCCUAACACAUGCAAGUCGAACGGCAGCACAGUAAGAGCUUGCUCUUACGGGUGGCGAGUGGCGGACGGGUGAGGAAUACAUCGGAAUCUACUUUUUCGUGGGGGAUAACGUAGGGAAACUUACGCUAAUACCGCAUACGACCUACGGGUGAAAGCAGGGGAUCUUCGGACCUUGCGCGAUUGAAUGAGCCGAUGUCGGAUUAGCUAGUUGGCGGGGUAAAGGCCCACCAAGGCGACGAUCCGUAGCUGGUCUGAGAGGAUGAUCAGCCACACUGGAACUGAGACACGGUCCAGACUCCUACGGGAGGCAGCAGUGGGGAAUAUUGGACAAUGGGCGCAAGCCUGAUCCAGCCAUACCGCGUGGGUGAAGAAGGCCUUCGAGUUGUAAAGCCCUUUUGUUGGGAAAGAAAAGCAGCAGGUUAAUACCCCGCUGUUCCGACGGUACCCAAAGAAUAAGCACCGGCUAACUUCGUG
RNAcentral lists this ribosomal RNA (492 nucleotides) under uncultured bacterium. RNAcentral's name for it is "partial 16S ribosomal RNA". It matches the Rfam family "Bacterial small subunit ribosomal RNA", at positions 29 to 507 of the family's 1533-position model. The record is from RNAcentral.